GACGAACCGAGCGAACGUUGUUCGGAAUCACUGGGCUUAAAGGGCGCGUAGGCGGGUACUCAAGUCCGUGGUGAAAUCCUCCGGCUCAACCGGAGAACUGCCUCGGAUACUGGGUGUCUCGAGGGUGGUAGGGGUCUGCGGAACUAUCGGUGGAGCGGUGAAAUGCGUUGAUAUCGAUAGGAACUCCGGUGGCGAAGGCGGCAGGCUGGACCACUUCUGACGCUGAGGCGCGAAAGCCAGGGGAGCAAACGGG
RNAcentral lists this ribosomal RNA (253 nucleotides) under uncultured bacterium. RNAcentral describes it as "partial 16S ribosomal RNA". It matches the Rfam family "Bacterial small subunit ribosomal RNA", at positions 524 to 776 of the family's 1533-position model. The record is from RNAcentral.